This 276-nucleotide ribosomal RNA is filed under the name uncultured bacterium. RNAcentral describes it as "partial 16S ribosomal RNA". It matches the Rfam family "Bacterial small subunit ribosomal RNA", at positions 64 to 339 of the family's 1533-position model. The record is from RNAcentral.
AGGCGGAAGUUUUCGGAUGGAAGCUUGUAAACUUAGUGGCGGACGGGUGAGUAACACGUGAGCAACCUGCCUAUCAGAGGGGGAUAACGAUUGGAAACGAUCGCUAAUACCGCAUGACAUAGCGGAACCGCAUGGUUUGUUAUCAAGAUUUAUCGCUGAUAGAUGGGCUCGCGUCCGAUUAGAUAGUUGGUGGGUAACGGCCUACCAAGUCGACGAUCGGUAGCCGGACUGAGAGGUCGAACGGCCACAUUGGGACUGAGACACGGCCCAGACUCC